UGGGGAAUAUUGCACAAUGGGCGAAAGCCUGAUGCAGCGACGCCGCGUGAGGGAUGACGGCCUUCGGGUUGUAAACCUCUUUCAGUAGGGACGAAGCGCAAGUGACGGUACCUGCAGAAGAAGCACCGGCUAACUACGUGCCAGCAGCCGCGGUAAUACGUAGGGUGCGAGCGUUGUCCGGAAUUACUGGGCGUAAAGAGCUCGUAGGCGGUUUGUCACGUCGUCUGUGAAAUCCUAGGGCUUAACCCUGGACGUGCAGGCGAUACGGGCUGACUUGAGUACUCCAGGGGAGACUGGAAUUUCUGGUGUAGCGGUGGAAUGCACAGAUAUCAGGAAGAACACCGAUGGCGAAGGCAGGUCUCUGGGUAGUAACUGACGCUGAGGAGCGAAAGCAUGGGUAGCGAACAGG
RNAcentral lists this ribosomal RNA (409 nucleotides) under bacterium. Its description in RNAcentral is "partial 16S ribosomal RNA". It matches the Rfam family "Bacterial small subunit ribosomal RNA", at positions 355 to 776 of the family's 1533-position model. The record is from RNAcentral.